UUAAUUCUCAUUGGAUGAUAAAGACCAAUGUAGUUGUACACACAUGAUAUGUAGAUUUGUGUCAGAUUACAAGUUUUUGUAUUAAUUAGGCAGGACCACAUGGGGAAGAGAAGCCCUGCAAUUUUAGACACUAGAAAACACAAACACUACUCAUGACAUGUAGUAUGUAGUUUGAGAAAUUGAAAAGCAAGAAAUACUACAAUCUUUUAUUACUAAAUUUGUUAUACUAUAUUGUUGGUGGUUCAAAC
RNAcentral lists this long non-coding RNA (248 nucleotides) under Lathyrus oleraceus (garden pea). RNAcentral describes it as "Pisum sativum (pea) long non-coding RNA (PSAT_LNC017052)". The record is from RNAcentral. Lineage: Eukaryota; Viridiplantae; Streptophyta; Magnoliopsida; Fabales; Fabaceae.